This 253-nucleotide ribosomal RNA is filed under the name uncultured bacterium. Its description in RNAcentral is "partial 16S ribosomal RNA". It matches the Rfam family "Bacterial small subunit ribosomal RNA", at positions 524 to 776 of the family's 1533-position model. The record is from RNAcentral.
UACGUAGGGGGCAAGCGCUGUCCGGAAUCAUUGGGCGUAAAGAGCGUGUAGGCGGCUUGGAAGGUCAGCUGUGAAAACUCGAGGCUCAACCUCGAGACGUCGGUUGAAACCACCUGGCUAGAGUCCGGAAGAGGAGUGUGGAAUUCCCGGUGUAGCGGUGAAAUGCGCAGAUAUCGGGAAGAACACCCGUGGCGAAGGCGGCACUCUGGGACGGUACUGACGCUGAGACGCGAAAGCGUGGGGAGCGAACAGG